CCUACGGGAGGCAGCAGUCGAGAAUCAUUCACAAUGGGGGAAACCCUGAUGGUGCGACGCCGCGUGGGGGAAUGAAGGUCUUCGGAUUGUAAACCCCUGUCAUGUGGGAGCAAAUUAAAAAGAUAGUACCACAAGAGGAAGAGACGGCUAACUCUGUGCCAGCAGCCGCGGUAAUACAGAGGUCUCAAGCGUUGUUCGGAAUCACUGGGCGGAAAGCGUGCGUAGGCUGUUUCGUAAGUCGUGUGUGAAAGGCGCGGGCUCAACCCGCGGACGGCACAUGAUACUGCGAGACUAGAGUAAUGGAGGGGGAACCGGAAUUUUCGGUGUAGCAGUGAAAUGCGUAGAUAUCGAGAGGAACACUCGUGGCGAAGGCGGGUUCCUGGACAUUAACUGACGCUGAGGCACGAAGGCCAGGGGAGCGAAAGGGAUUAGAUACCCGUGUAGUC
RNAcentral lists this ribosomal RNA (446 nucleotides) under uncultured bacterium. RNAcentral describes it as "partial 16S ribosomal RNA". It matches the Rfam family "Bacterial small subunit ribosomal RNA", at positions 338 to 795 of the family's 1533-position model. The record is from RNAcentral.